AAGGGCAAGUGUACUUAACAUAGUCUAGUGUGUUAUUGAGUAGACAAGAUCAACAUUGUGAUGGAAAAAUACAUUCAACAAGGCUAGACAUAAAAAAGAAAAAGCACCAAAGGAUUUUAUUUCUUGAUCAAAAACCAAUUUUUAAGUAAGUCACACUCAUUUGCUACAUAUAUAUUUGAACUUCUGCAGACGUAUUGUUGCCCUACAAUCUCUAUUUAGGGUAACACAAACUGUUUCGGCACAAAAAUCUGCCCCUAGUCAAUUGUUAAGUAAUAAAUUCUAUACAAAUGUAAUAGACAAAAAUUUUCGUACAUGUACCUGC
Schizosaccharomyces pombe (fission yeast) is the source of this 322-nucleotide non-coding RNA. Lineage: Eukaryota; Fungi; Ascomycota; Schizosaccharomycetes; Schizosaccharomycetales; Schizosaccharomycetaceae. The record is from the annotation of a GenBank genome assembly.